CAAGGAAUUUUCCGCAAUGGGCGCAAGCCUGACGGAGCAACGCCGCGUGGGGGAGGACGCCUUUCGGGGUGUAAACCCCUUUUCUUGGGGAGGACGACCGACAGUACCCGAGGAAGAAGGACCGGCUAACUACGUGCCAGCAGCCGCGGUAAUACGUAGGGUCCGAGCGUUGUCCGGAGUUACUGGGCGUAAAGCGCGCGCAGGCGGCUGGGCAAGCAUGGCGUGAAAGCCCCCGGCUCAACCGGGGAGGGUCGUCGUGGACUGCUUGGCUUGAGGGCGGGAGGGGCUGGUGGAAUGCCCGGUGUAGUGGUGAAAUGCGUAGAGAUCGGGCGGAACACCCGUGGCGAAGGCGGCCAGCUGGACCGACCCUGACGCUGAGGCGCGAAGGCGUGGGGAGCGAACGG
This 404-nucleotide ribosomal RNA is filed under the name uncultured bacterium. RNAcentral describes it as "bacterial SSU rRNA". It matches the Rfam family "Bacterial small subunit ribosomal RNA", at positions 355 to 775 of the family's 1533-position model. The record is from RNAcentral.